AUUGAACGCUGGCGGCAGGCUUAACACAUGCAAGUCGAGCGGGGUGAUGGUGCUUGCACUAUCACUUAGCGGCGGACGGGUGAGUAAUGCUUAGGAAUCUGCCUAUUAGUGGGGGACAACAUCUCGAAAGGGAUGCUAAUACCGCAUACGUCCUACGGGAGAAAGCAGGGGAUCACUUGUGACCUUGCGCUAAUAGAUGAGCCUAAGUCGGAUUAGCUAGUUGGUGGGGUAAAGGCCUACCAAGGCGACGAUCUGUAGCGGGUCUGAGAGGAUGAUCCGCAACACUGGGACUGAGACACGGCCCAGACUCCACGGGAGGCAGCAGUGGGGAAUAUUGGACAAUGGGGGGAACCCUGAUCCAGCCAUGCCGCGUGUGUGAAGAAGGCCUUAUGGUUGUAAAGCACUUUAAGCGAGGAGGAGGCUCUUUUGGUUAAUACCCAAGAUGAGUGGACGUUACUCGCAGAAUAAGCACCGGCUAACUCUGUGCCAGCCGCCGCAGUAA
This 502-nucleotide ribosomal RNA is filed under the name uncultured bacterium. RNAcentral's name for it is "partial 16S ribosomal RNA". It matches the Rfam family "Bacterial small subunit ribosomal RNA", at positions 30 to 523 of the family's 1533-position model. The record is from RNAcentral.